UACGGGGGGAGCAAGCGUUGUUCGGAUUUACUGGGCGUAAAGGGCGCGUAGGCGGCCAGCACAAGUCAGUUGUGAAAUCUCCGGGCUUAACUCGGAAAGGUCAACUGAUACUGUGCGGCUAGAGUGCAGAAGGGGCAACUGGAAUUCUCGGUGUAGCGGUGAAAUGCGUAGAUAUCGAGAGGAACACCUGCGGCGAAGGCGGGUUGCUGGGCUGACACUGACGCUGAUGCGCGAAAAGCGUGGGGAGCAAACAGG
This 255-nucleotide ribosomal RNA is filed under the name uncultured bacterium. RNAcentral's name for it is "partial 16S ribosomal RNA". It matches the Rfam family "Bacterial small subunit ribosomal RNA", at positions 524 to 776 of the family's 1533-position model. The record is from RNAcentral.